GUACUUGCUCUGGCAGCACAUAUACUAAAAUUGGAACAAUAUGGAGAAGAUUAACAUGGACCCUUUGCAAGGAUGACACGUAAAUUCAUGAAGCGUUCCAUAUUUAA
RNAcentral lists this small nuclear RNA (107 nucleotides) under Spermophilus dauricus (Daurian ground squirrel). The record is from RNAcentral. Lineage: Eukaryota; Metazoa; Chordata; Mammalia; Rodentia; Sciuridae.